GCUUUUCGUUUUGCUGCCCGUUCAUUUCGCUUGGCAAAAGGCUGGUUAUAGAAGCGGGGGGACGUCGCAGCUGUCGUGUUUGCGGUUUGCCUCGCCGCAAUCAGGCUCGCGCUCGCGGGGCCGUGAUUGCGGUAGCCUCCGCCUCAUUUGCAUUGAUGAGGCCGUGGUAGCGGACGGGGCGCAGCGCAGCGCCCGACUCAAUCACAGCGCUCGGCAUGAGCACGGGGAGCCGGGCAUCCGCCGCGCGGCGCCUCAGCCCACCCCGCGUUACGGCCGCUCCUGCGAAAUGGUCCGAACGAGCAACUCCGAAGAUGCGUGUUAAUUGAGGGGCCGGCAUUUCCUUGCGCUCUACUUAUUGGAUAUAACGAUGAUGUGCUCUUCAGUCCCCCAGGAUCCCCCCAAACCGUCCUACCUGGAGUCCUUGAUACUUUUAGGACGGGCAAGAAGAUUUGUGUUCCAUAUCCCAAAGGGUUGCUCUCUCCACCCCCCCCCCCCCCCCCCCCCCCCCCCCCCCCCCCCCCCCCUUUGUUCAUUGUUUACACGGAUGAAGAGAAGGGCCCUGGGUUAUUUGUUUUUCUUUCCUUCCCCCACCCCCCCCACCCCAACCCCCCCCCUUUUUUUUCUUUCCUCCCUUUUUUCCCGAUAUGUGAUCGCUUUGCAUACAGGACAAAAUGUUUCAGUGUUUUAAAUGCCGAAGUAUUCAAAGCAUUCGCACCCCCAAACCACGCACUGUGCCUCCCCCAGAGAAUGCUUUUUCCACCGAAGUUAGAAAUGUCUAAGAAUAGAACACAGUCGUUUCCCUCUGUACCCCCUGGACCCACAAUGUCCUGAGUUUCUCAUAGCGAUUAAUCUGAGAUCUAUUUUCCCACCACUGUCCUGGAUGUGGGUAUUGAAAUCAUCAUCUGUGCUUUGAAAAAAUAAAAUAAAAUAGUAAUAAUUUAAAAAGAACAAAAUAAACAUUUUGUAAAAAAGAAAAAAAAAGAAGAAAAUGGAAGAAGUGAUAAUUCGGAGCUAAAGCGUGCAGUUCAAAAGCUGAAGCUCCCAUUGGAGAACAGAAAAUUUAAUGAGCUUUUAAUGGAAUGCAAUGCUCGGAGUAGUAAAUUAUUUGUUAGUUGACGAUGCAAUCAGCAUGCUGAUUAAGGUCGCUUGGUUUUUUACCAAACAUUAACUGAAUGAAAGCGGUUAGCCCGCGUUGUUCUGCUUGGGGGGCUCCGGCGAAGCAAAUGGACUUUAAGAACAGCGACUGUCAAUAAAGGGCAAGGGACGAAAAGAAGGAAUAUUUAUUAAAUGUUUACACUGCAAUUAGUGGCACAGACUGCUCGAGUUCUCCCCUACUGAAGAUGGUGCUGUUCCGGGUUCAGCUCCUCCUGAAGACCUUCAGGACUUCGGGCUGUCUCUUCUGUAAAGGAAGAAACAUCAGAAGCCUACAGGAAAUAAACUGCUGCACAACUUGCAUUACCAUGCACCUCAUCACUGUGUAACAGGUGACUUUUUGGCACUAACACCGCAAAGUCAUCCGAUGCAGAAAUGGCUAAGAAAAUUUAGAAACGAAGGAAAAGAUCCUCGUGAUCUACUGCAAUGACGAAGUUUCAGGAAAUGCACCAUGCACAGUCUAUGAAAAAAUCUGUGGAAUGUUCCUGUGUCUGCACAUCCAUCAUCUGAGCAGGGCAUACUGCGGGCAGUGCUCCCUGAGACACUUUGUUUGGGCCUGGCAAGAUGCCUGCUGCCCGUCACAAUAAUGGUUCAUUUUCCGCUGUUCUGAACUCCGUGAUCCUCCUACUUAUUAUUUUGCUUAUUUUUAAAUAGGAAUCUCUCUGGAAAAUAUAUAUAUAAUUUCCUUUUUCUGGUCACGAUGAGACAUGGUACUAGUGGGCUUCUCAUAGGCAUGCUUGACUGCAGACUUCCUGUGGUCCUUCUGCCCUUAUGUAUACCACCCACUCUUGGAGCACACCCAAAGCUUGCAGAUUUGCUCUACGGAAUGACAGUGCUUAAGCUGAUGGGCAUAGUUGUAAUGUAGCAUGGAGGUUCAGAUGUGAGGGUUUUACAACUGAGAAUGUCAUGUGGUGAGAAAAGCCCAAACACCAGAAGGUUUACACCAGAAGGUGUAAAAAAAUACCUUCACAUGGCUACAUGUAGUAUUCCUGGCCUGUGGACAAAGGAAUGCUUUGAGCUGGGAAAGACAUCAAAGCCCAUACAGAUCCAAUGCCCUGUGAACAAGGACACCUCCCAAAGGAGCAUGAGAAGGAGCUGCAUGAUAUCAAUCCAUUGAUAUUUGAGUCAUGAUACCACUGAUGCUGUCCAGAGCUUGCUCACCACCACAGCAAUGUGUAAAUACACAAACACAAUGAAGGCCCCUUGCCUAAGGUGGAAGAGUAUAUCCCCUCCUUGCCUGGCUGGGAGCCCGCUUGGCUCCCCACUACCCAGCAGCAGUGCCCUCCUCGUUCUGACUCAUCAAAUAAUCCUUUCAAAUCAGCACUGAUAAUGUUUGGUUGGUUUUUUUGUUUUUUAUUUUUAUUUAACCAGGCUGAAUCCCAAGUCUGUCCUAACUCUGUUUUUCCAAUCAGUCUGUUUGUUUAAGUGAGAAGAAAACAAUUUAAAUCAGUUCCUUGCAAUCUUUGGUUAUUUAUAGAUAAAAUGAUUUACAUGUUUGUGAGCUCUCUGCUGAUGACACAGUAUUACCAAAGGCUUUUCUUUGGGGAAUACAGCACCAUUUAGGUUUAUUUUCUUGUUUUCCACAUCAUGUUCUGAUUUCUUACACGAAAUAACUCAUUCUCUCUGUCUCUUUCCAUUUCCUUAAGAUAAAACCCCCAAUUUUGGCUAUGUUUAUUUAAGAAAGUAAUGUCAUUUAUCAAUUUUCUUACUUGGAAGUAGGAUUUAAUUUUUGUUUGGAGCCCAUGUGCUGAAAUCACCUGCUUUUCCCCCCUAUGAUGAAAGGAACACAGAUUUUUACUAAAAAAUCCUGAAGAAUUUUUUAUCCACGUGCAAUGGCAAAUCCUGCAGCCUGGAAACCAAGGACCAUUCUGUUAUAGGUGGAUGUUAAAGAUUCGCUUAGGAAUUCCCUGUUUAAUAAAUGGUCACUGCACACAGUGUGUUGUCUGCAGUCUUCUCUGCAAAGGGAUAUUUCCCCAUUUGUGCCUGUGAUGGCGUUUAAGUCUUGUUAGUGUUACGUAUGGAAUACACUCAUUAACAGGAAUUAAUAGUGAAUAUUUGAAUAUGCAUAUAUCCAAAAUAAAAGAGAAAAUUCAGUGACAGUCAGUUAGUCAGAAAUAAUUGUAGCUGUCAAAUUUCCUAAGUACGUUGCGUGCAAAUGAUAGUACUACUCUGAUUUCAUGGGAGUGAGAAGGAUGUUUUGCACACAUACACACACAAUUCAAAUGUGCUUUUCCACUUUUUAUUUUGCAAUUUAUUGUGAAAAAAAUGUAAAAAAAAAAAGUUUCUCAGUUAUAUGUGAUAAGGAAUAAUCAUUACUUCAUCAAACUAUUAAGCCCACAGGACCAGGCAGACACUCAGACUGAGCCCAUGGGUGAGAUGCUCAUGCCCCAGCCCUGAACCGUUUGAACAUCACUGGGGUGAGAUUUGCCAAGUCCAACCCCUUAAAAAGUGGCCCAGCCACCAUGGGUUUUGGGGACAGUGUGGGACAUGCACAGAAGUGUCUCAGACAACUGCAAAAAAGGCCUUAUAUACAUAUUGAGGAUGAUUUUAAAAAAUGCAUAAAGUUUGACACAAAAACAGAGUUGUCUGAGAUGUGAUUGAACUUCAGGGUGUCUUCAGAGUUGGAGGAGCGUUUGUCUUUCACAGAUACAAGUCUGUCUUCUCUUACAUUUGCCUGAACAUUUACGUAUUCACAUCGGCACUGAAUAUAAUCAUUGGAAAAUACCUGAUGGAGAUAAACAGAUUGUAAAAAAAUAGAAAACAAAAGUGAUUUUCUAGCCUUGCUGGGGUCCACUGAAUAUGUUAAGGAAGCGAUGGUUUCCCUCUCAUUUAAGGAGUGGAAGAUAUCCUUCCUUCAGAUAACAACCCCUCUCAAGCUCAAUAAUUUGCACUCAGAUAGAGUCUUCUCCAUGGUUUUCAUUUUUAAGUUUUACUGAAAAUUUAGAGAAGCUGCAAUUUCAAGUGCACAGAUGGUGCAUUUUCCAAAAAUAUGUGAUUUGCACACCAUACUUCAGCAACUACUCAAGCAGACAGAAAGCUCCAAUUCGACUGAAACUGGAGAGGAAACCCAUGCAAUGCCCACCACCACCACCACCACCAUUAUUGUAAUAGUUGCAACCCGAGUGAUGGUUCAGUGGAGAAGCUGGAAUAACACAUCUGCCCAGCAUCCUUGGUGUCAGACGCCAGUCUGUGCCUGGGCACCACUGCUAUGCUCUCUGUGAAUAGGUGCUUCUUCUUGUGAGCAGGGCUGCUGCAGCACAGGCUUGCAAUGUCUGUCUGGCUGUCUGCAGCUCUGUCUCUGUGACUCAAUUUCUCACAGAGGGAGUGUAAUAUAGCCUCUCUAUCUGCAAGGGCUUCUCUGAAAGCAGUGCCUCCUAGCAGACUGUAUUGGCCCAUGUUGGCAGAGGCAAUAAGACAGUAGAAGUUGAACAUUCACAGCAAUAAAUAUUCCAUUAAACAUUGUUUCCAUGUGACAGAUGGCAGCAGAGGGGCAAUCUGAUAAAAUGGCGUCUGAUACAGAAGUGUGUAUGGAGCGAAGGUGUAUCACUGGAUUCCCUCCUGCGGAAAAAAAUGGACACUUGCUGACCAUUUAUGGAGACCAAACAGUGGAUAUGAGCACACUGAGGUGGUGGGUGCUGCGUUUCAGCAAUGGCCGCAGUGACAGAGGGUUGCCUCCACUAACGCAGAUCAUUAUGAGCGUGGCAUGAAGCUUCUUGUUCAUCACCGGCAAAAAAUACAUAGCAUUGACUGUGUUGGAAAAAAAAAAAAAAAAAGAGUUUUGCAGCUGUGAAUUUUCUUGAUCAAAUGGUGUUACUGUGCUCUUUGUAUCUAUUGUAGUUUCCACUUACGUACAUAGGAGGCAUUACUUUUGGAGCAACCCAUGUAUGCUAUUACACUCAUAUUUUUGUCUAUUUGCUAAAAAUGCUUGAGUUAGACUGUUUGGCCUUUCUCUGUGCUAUUGUGUGCUCAUUCAGAGAGAUCCCUGUUUUGGCUAAUAACAUUUCUGUGGAGCAGGUACACAGAAGAGGGGACAGGUAAAUACAGCAAACUUCAAGAAGCUCUCUGCAGGAGAAGCUUUAACCUUGUGAUGACAGUCUUCCACAAAGCCUGAGUAGGCAGGACUAUCAUGAUUAAUGGUAAUUGCACCACUGUUGCUGCUUUUAUCUCUAGUUACUCUGUGCAAGACUGCAUGGAAGAAGACACUGCACCCAUCCAAUAUGCUUACGGGCUGCAGUGGGCUCACUCAGAUUUAGAGUGUUUGGCCUAAGGCAGAUCCAUUUGGAACUCCGGAUUCACUUAUCUCUCCUCAGAAAUAAAAUAAAACCUUUGGGAGGACUCAAGAAUCUCCCAGAAAGGAGAUACUCAGCAGGAGCAUUGAAUUCAUAGUAGAAAGGGGAAUAAAAGUAUAGUGAAGAACUGUGAAAUUGGCCAAUGGAACUGCAAGGUGUCAUGGAUGUUGUUCUUGCUGUUCCCUGCCCCUUUUUAACCAGUGGCACUUACUGCUUUAGACAGUCAGUUUUGCAGAGGCAGGGAACAUUCUCAUCUUUGUGCAUAUGCUACAAGAGCCAGCCCUGAUCCUCCCUACAGCCUCUGAGUACCACAUGCCAUAUAGAGAGAGCUUUCUGCUUGUAGGACUGCAUCCCUGUUGCUGCUGCUUCUCCUUCUUCCUCUUCCCCUUCUGCCUCUUCUCCAUCAUCUUCUUUUAUUUUCUUAAACUUAGAAUUCCCAGGCAAGACAUUUCACUGAUUUAGAAAGUUUAAUCCUGAGGCCGGGUUGCAGUUAUAGGACACACUGUAGGUGCAGAAAUCAGAGCUGCUGUCACAUGGUAUGCUCUCAUACAGGCGUAAUUAAUGACAUAAUUAAUUUGGAAAUAUUUAUAGCUGGGCUAGUUUCUUUUGAGCUCUCCCUCAUGUUCCUGGAUCUGUCCAGAGGCUGACCAGAUGAAACUUCGAUCUGUGUUUCACCAUUUGAUAUCUGGGCUAAGUUCAACAGAAACAGGUUGAUAUAUGGUAGUUUUGAUUUAUUUUAAAGCAGGUAUGGAAUUAGUUUGAGCUUGUCACUGCCUUGGCAGGGAAAAUAAACAUUAAAUAGAAACGUCGAUCACAUUUGCAUUUGCACCAUUGACUGUGUUUACCUGAAUUAUCAUCCUGCAGCAGACACCUCUGUUAUGCUUUGAUCUUGCACUACCAAAGGUAUUUUACAAGAAGAAGUCAUUUAAAAAAGCCCACACAAUUAUGACAGUUUCUGUAAUGCUCAUUGAGUAAUAUAAGAUGCAGGGCUUUUCAUCUUAAUUUUGAUGUGCUGUGGUGUAGAAUUAAAAAAAUAAUGAAGUGUUUUAAGGAAUCCCUAGAUUCCCCAUCCUCCUCCCUCCCUCCACCCCCCCCCUCCGGGCCCAGAGCAGCAGCAGAGUUGUGUACGUAAUGCAAAGGGCAAUGCAAAACAGACUGGAUUUCCCCCCCAGUGGGAAGAUGUGUAGGUUGAUUAGAUACCAAGUAACAAAACAAUGGUGUUGUUGAGUUAAUUGGUGUAAAACAUUUCAUGGAGCUUGUUAUUCUUCAAAUUAUGUUUGUGUGUAGCUCCAAAGUACGGCUGCUGCCUCCAAGCCUGAAAUGCCUCAGACUUAACAGCUUUUUCACUUACACUCUGUAAUUGCCAUGCUGUGAGAAAAGGAGGGAAGCUGAUCUUUUGUACGGAAGGUAAAUGGGCCUGAGGAAGAAGUCCUACUAGCAACAUUGAAGUCUGAAAAUGUCAACAGAUUGAAAUUUGCAGUUAAUUAACUAAUUGUUCAAUUUAAUGGGUAACUCACACAUAUUUUCCUUUCCUGUUACAAAGUAUUAUACAUUAAACAGUCAUGUACGCGUAUAAUUUUUAGUAUGCAUUAGUAAUGAAGACAUUCCCAUUCUCCACCAUCAGGCCCUGAUAUCACCAUGGAAAUCAUGAUCUCCAACUGACUUAAAGUCAAUCAAACACUGAAUUACUGGAGAGGAGGAGACUGGUGUUUAUGAUACAACACCUCCAUCAGACGUGCAGCUAAAUCGCUAAGGACAGAGUUUGCCCCAUGACUGGUAUGCAUCUCACAACCCUGGAAGUGCAGAAGUUUUAUCACUUUGCAAAGCACAGUGCUUUAUGGAUGGCUUUUAAAUUUGCAGCCCCUCAGAUGCCACCUGCCAUUGUUUUCUCUGAGCUCCUCUUUACAGCCAGCAGUGAGAUUUCUGCUCUUAAGGAAGCAAGGACAGCUCACUGCUGUUUCCAAAAUGAGGUAUCUCUGUGCCACUGUGCACAGGCCACCCAAGAGAGACAUCCCUCCUUGAGUGCUUCCUUACACCCACAUAAAGCCCACGUUUGUUAUAUGGUGGGAGUGGAUUUUUCUGCUCUAUUCCAAGUAAAAGGAUGACCGUUCUAUUUCUUUCCCAAAAGACUGCAUUGUGUACAACUACAAUAACACAUCUGCUCAUAAAAUGGGCAUGCAAGACUCUGCUGUGAAGAAUCAAGGUUGUGGGCAUUUGUUCACAGCGACUGGUAAUAUAUUGCUCGCUAUCAUCUGACAGAUUGCUAAUAAGGCACAGCUGCUUUAUGUGUUCAUGGUUCCUUCAGCUACUCUCCACAGUGGAAUGGGAGAUGCAGCAUGUAGAGGCAAAAGUGUUUCCCAUUUGUUUGCUUCCAGUAGGGUAAAAAAAAACAAAACAAAUAAGCAAAAAAACACCUCAGAUGAUUAUUUUAGAGAUAAACCCUACAACUAACAGUGAAUAUUCCCAUAAUGACUGAUGACAGUUUCAUACAGGGCUCUGUGUGCGAAUGAACAGUUUUGUUCCUUAAAGACUUUAAUGCUGUAUAUUGGAAAAAAAAAAAAAAAGAAAGAAACCUCAACAUGGAAUAGGUCUUCUAUGUAUGGACAUUCGCAGCAUCAUUCAGGCAAUCAUUUACAAAAAUGAUAAAAGAAGUAAUUCUGUCAUUUUGUGAAAAUCAUGUUGUCUCGCUCCUUACAUUUAAAAAAUUAGUAUAGACAAACCAGACAGAAUUUUGUUCCUCACCUCUGUUUGAGCUACCUCCUUUGAAGUCAUUAAGGUAAUCCCUUACUGGUGAGCACUGUCUAAAUAACUUGUUAAAGAAUAAAUUCUUUGUUAAGUCCUAUGUAGAAAAAAUAAAUGAUUGCAAAAGGGAUACCUCUUCCAUGGAUGAGAUACUUAAAUAAUCCUGUUCUUUAAAGAUCAGUGAUGAUCAAGGUAAUGGCUCAGCUACUUUUCUUUUCUAUUGUAUAAAUAGCACUUGUAAAAAGAUCUGGAUCACAGAAUCACAGAAUCGCAGGGGUUGGAAGGUACCUCAAGAGAUCAUUGAGUCCAACUCCCUGCUAAACUAUGUUCCCUAGAAUAGGUCUCACAGGUAGGCAUCCAGAUGGCUCUUGAAUAUCUUCAUAGAAUGAAAUGCCACAAUCUCUGGGCAAUUUGCUUAAAUGUUCCAUCACCCUUAACAGAAAGAAGUUCUUCCACAUGUUUGUGUGGUACUUCCUAUGUUUUAGUUUUGGGCCAUAUUCCUUGUCCUACCACUAUGCACCACCAAGAAGAGCCUGGCCUCAUCCAUUUGUCUUCCACCUCCCUUUAGAUAUUUAUAAACAUUGAUCAGAUCUCUUCUCAGUUUUCUUUCCCACGAGCUGGACAGACCCAGGUUACUCAGCCUUUCCUCAUACGGGAGUUUCUCCAGGCCCUUAAUCAUUUUUGUAUCCCUCCGCUGGACUCCAUCUAAGAGAUCCCUGUCUUUUUUGAACUGGAGAGCCCAGAACAGGACUUGGUAUCCUAAAUGUGUUCUCAUCAGGGCAGAGUACAUGGGGAGCAUCACCUCCCUUGACCUUCUGUCCAUGCUUUUUUUAGUGCACCCAGGAUACCAUUGGCCUUCUUGGGCACAAGGGCACUUUUGCUGGCUCAUGGCCAACCUGCUGUCCACUAGAACACCCAGGUCCUUCUCUGAACAGCUCUUCUCCAGCAGGUCAUCCCACAACUUGUACUAGUGCAUGUGUUUUUUCUUCCCUAGGUUUCAGACUCUACACUUAUUUUGUUGAACCUCAUCGGGUUCCUCCCUGCCUAGGUCUCAACUAAAGCCUCACAGAAUGGCAACAGAGCUUUCUGGUGUGUCAGCCACCCCUCCCAGCUUUGUAUCAUCAGCAAACUUGCUGAGGGUGGGCCCUAUUCCUUUAUCCAGGUCAUUGACGAAGCUGUUGAACAAGACUGAACUCAGCACUGACUUCUGGGGAGUGCUAGUAGCUACAGGCCUUCAGAAGGCAUUCAGAAUCUCCACCUUCUCAGCCUCUCCUGCUACUGAGGCACCCAUCGCAUGUGUAGGAAACUCACAUUUUUCCAAGUCUUCCUUUUACUUCCUUUUUACUUUUUUACUUCUUCUUUUUCUUUACCUCCUUCACAAAGUUUAAUUCUAAGAGGGCCUUAGCCUUCCUCGUUACUUCCUUACAUUCCUGUAUUCUUCCCAGAUGGACAGGCCCUUUUCCCACAUUUCAUGGACCUUCUUCUUUCUAUUUAGUUUAUCCAGGAGUUAUUUGCUCAUCCACACAGGCCUCUUGCCACCUUUCCCUUAUUUCUUAUUGCACAGAUCUUGAGCUCUGAAGAAGUGGAGUUCACGUUCCCUUAUCUCACCUCAGCACCCUUAUCUUCUAACACUCUAGUCCAUGGGAUACUGCCCAGAAUGUAAGUCUUUGGAAAGGUCUUCAAACUGCUUCAGAAUUGAAGUCUAUAUAAUAAGGGAUUGUAUGUUGAUGUGCAAGACUAGGGUUUUUUUAGUUGUUUUUUUCCCCACAGAUGUUUAAUAUUUGAUUUCCCAUUUUUAGGAGAGAAAGACUUGGGGCAUUUACCUGAUUCAGUCAUCUGAAAGAGUGUCAGAGGAUAAGAUAAAGGACAAUAUAUUUUUGGAUGUCACUAGAAUGAACAGAGUGUUAAGAGGAAUGUCUGUUUCUUGUAGAGAUGCACAAUGUAAUUAUUUCCCAAUUUAACACAUGGUUUUGAUAUAUUGAGAAGUAUUUGCAAUAUGGUUUGUUUAAAAUGAAAAUAUUGUAAUAUUUCAUAAGGAAAGUACUUGUUGGUGGAAGAAAAUACUUAACAAUGUUUUACCAGUUUCCCUUGUUCCUCCAUAAACAUUGGCAGUGUGAAGCACGAAGGUGUUUAACAGCAAUAUGCACCUUUUAACCUUUCUGGACAUCAGUGUUUUUAUGUUUAUGCCUAUUAAAAUUAAUGGGAGCACCUUUAGCUUCAGACAUAGGCUUUUGCCCAAGUGUGGGAGUGGUAACCAAUGCCUGUAAAGGAAAACUUGUAUUACAUGCAGAUUUUGAAGAGGUAUAUUUUGUGCAACUUUCCAACACAUGCAUACUGCAGGAUGCUGAAAACUUUAAGUGGGUUCUUCAAGUCUCCAGCAUGCCUUUGCCAGAAUACAAAUUAUAUUGCCCUACUCUUUUUUUCAUUUGUUCUUUGCAUACACAGAUGAUCUUACAGAGCUGCCUAACAGCUUCCAAAUAGCUAACAAUAAGAUUGGUUUCUGCUAACAUUAACCAUCUUAAAGUGAAACAUAUACUUUAAGCAAUCUGUCAAGGUGUUUUUGUAGCAUCAUGAGGAUAAGUAAUCCCAACAAUUUGGGCUCCGAGUUCUGGAGGUGCAAAUGCAAAACCAGGAAGUUAACAAUUCUCCCUAAAGUGGUAAUGAUAGGAGCACAUCUCGGUGGUGAACUUGUGGUUCUCACUUCUAGCAGCAUUCUCACCUCAACAGCUUGAGGAUUCGCCUGGCAUUGCUGACAGUGGGAACUGGCACGCACAGGCUGUCAAAGUCAGGCCCAAACUUGAAGGUCUUGAAAAUCUGCAUGUUCAACCCCAAACUACACAGAAACACAGCUCCUAAGUGGUCUUCUUCAAUUUUGUCUGUGAACGGUUUCUGAAAUUCCCUCCAUUUUGCCUUCCAAAGGAUGUUGUAUGCAACUGAGCUGCUUUUAUCCUCUUGAAGUAGUUUAUGUAGGCAAGAAAGCAGCCCAUUCAACUGGAAUGAAUAAUGAUAAUGUUGUUUAUGUGCAGAAUACAUUAUUUGAAUCAAUGAAGAAAAGACAUACUGGCUGGGAAUUUGCCUGCUUAUUUCUGCUAAGGAUAUAGAAUCAACCAUAUAACAACAGUGAUCUUUUUUUUCUUCCUCUUCUUACUUGGCAUUUAAGUAAGCCCUCAGACUAGGGAACUUCCAUGAUCAUCUGCAAAAGUUACGUAUGGAAGCUCCCAGCUCAAGGGUAUGGCUGCUUAUGAGCCUUCACACAGUUUCUAUUGUGUGAGCUGGUAGGACACCAGUGACUGAUGCUUGUAGAUGUCCUUUCACAGCCUGAAGGAGUUAAAUAUCAGCUAAUUUUUGUUGUUGUUGUUGGAUAAAUUAAUCUGUUGAGCUCUUUGAUCCCAACCUCUGAGGUGGGAACUUUAAACUUGGUCAGGGUAUUCCUGUUCUAAACGGCACUGCCCUCACUUGGGUGAUAUUGAUUUAUUGUCCUAUGGCUUCCAAAGUGAUUUGCAAAGUGCAAACUGACUGCAAAAUGCUGUCAUUUUGGUUGUGAAACACUUGAUGUCUACCCUACAGGAAGGAAACCAUAACUUUAAAAACUGCUGUUAAUUUUUCCAAAUUUUCUUUUUCUUUCAGGGCUUUUGGUGGAAAGGAAGAAGUAUUCUAAGAUGUUGUCUCAUCAAACUCAAAACAUUUUGCAAGGGGGAAUACAGAGUCCAACAUUAUUUAAAUCCUAAUCAGAGCUUCAGUCGAGUUAUCUCAAUAAAUAGAUGCCCAAAGGCACAAGAACUGGCUCUUCCUGCAGAACUGCAAAUCAGGAAACCCCAGAAUGAGAAAGAGGAAACCAAGAAAACUUGUGAUGAGAUCAGGAGCUCAGGUGCUCAGGUGGGUCUAGGGUUUGAACAUAUAGGGGUUAAAUAAGCUAGCUUUAGAAACUAGGGAAGGAGAACAAUGUCUCAACAUUUCAUGGUCAGCUGUGCAAACACCAAGAAAGGAACAAUACAAAAUGAAUGGCUUUGACCGGUUUGAAUGCAUCACAAGAAGGUCAGACCAAGGAAGACGUCGAGCCUUUGCGAGGAAGACUUCUGAUUUCAUCCCCACAACCACCAGAGGGAGACCCCAACUAUGGACAACGCAUGUGCCAGGGGAGGGGCAGUAUGUAAACAAAUUUCCAGAAGGAUAAUGAAUAUGUAGAUGGGUUCCAAGAAUUCUGCUGAAUAUAUAUGGACUUGGCUUACAAAUUUGUAGCAUUUUUGCUUGCUGGUGUGCAAGUUUGCUGGAGUGAUCCCCCUUGCACCCGGCCGGCCGAAUAAACAUACCUGCUUUAUAACCUAACCGGGUUAUAGAGUUUGAUUCCGCACGUCAGUAAGACUGCACUGUGAUAGGUUCCUAGGAGUCAGACUCAGCAUUGACUGAUGGACAUUAUUUCUGAUGGUGUGAGGUUUUGCUGUGAAACUCUAUAUUGUGAAGUGUUGCUAUAAACUCUUAAAUUAUGGACAUUUGUUGGAAAAAAAUAUCCAGCUGAAGUUAUUAUAUAAAGAUGCAAUCUUUUGCUUAACAAUUUUCUUAACCGCAAGAGGUUGAUUAAAAAUUAAUGCUUGCCCUAUUCUCGUAUUAUUUCCUAAAUAUUUGCUAUUGUGCUUGAUUGGAAAUGAGAUAGAAGGCCAGUCUGACCUUGGAUAUGACUCACCGGAGGCUGUUCUCAUGUUUUUUAAGGCACAAAGCCAAUGCAAGUUGCAUCAAAGCUAGUUAGAAUGUAUUCUGUAAAUACAGCAGUAGUGAAGUAGGAAACAAUGGAAGGGGUUGAUUCACUGCCCAGGGGAAAAAAAGAAAAACAACAGAUAUACUAAGUACUCUAAGGCAAAAACAUUCCAUUUGUUUGUUUCUUUUCAGUCUUUAUAAGGAUGAAAUCAGUCAUAAUGGCUAGUUGUUAUGUUAAAAGGGCAAAAUUAUAGCUCCCGUAGCUGAACAGCAGGCUGGGGAGGGAGGUCAAGUUGUUUUUAAGCCAAAUUGGUGAACCUUGAGGUAGCAGACAGCUGUUUGAAGCAACUACAACCCUGGGGAACUAAGAAGACGCAAACUCCUGGCCAGUUUACUAAUCGUUGAUAUUCAAUAAAAAGAAAAGAAUCAGUGUUUACUUUUUUUUCCACACUGCUAUUGAAGAUGUUUAGUUUGAUUGAUACCCACUGACAGCAAAAAAAACUUGACACGGAACAAUACUCCCUCCAGGGAUACAAUCAGUCCCAGCUGUGGUUAGAUAGUUGUGACUUUUUGCUCUUGCAAAAAUAACUGGGCCAAGAAUGGAAUCCUGUGUUGAACACGAUGAGACUUAGAAGCUGAGAUUAACAUUGUCCUUGAGCGGUAGUCAUUGGAAACCACAUGUUGAAAUGCAGAGCUAGUACACGUCUUUUGAAUAAAAUCAAUAAGCAGAAUGGUGACAGCUUCCACGUAUGCAGUUCUAUUGUUGCUGUCAGAAGACAAAAAUAUAAACAUUUAACUGAUGUGAGACGUGGUUAAAUUGCAGUCCUAUACAGUUUGAACAGAGCUUGGUCAUAAAUCUUAAGACUGGUGAAGCCCUGCAGUUCUAAUACGAAUCAGCAAAUCUUAACAUUUUAAUAUUUAGACUAGCAAGGUAGAAGAUUUACCUUUUCACAUUUAGGCAGAAUUAAGUAAUGCUUUUAUGAGCAUUUAAAUAUGAAAAAUGCACACGAGUAUUUCCAUAAUACUGAACAGUUUAGUAUCAGAUAUGUUUGUAGUUUCCAGUAUUGUGAUAACACCUGAGCAGCAUCCAACUGUGAAAGGCAACACCAGUGCUGUGAUGGGUCCACUUCUGCAUGAUUUUAAGCAAUUAGACAAUACCACAGAUGUCAUUCAAGAAGCAUGUCUUGGAGCAUUAGUACCUCAUGAAACCUUGCCUUGGCAUUCGUUCUGUUUUCCACUUUGAACUGCUGUGUUUAGUUUCACAGUGACCUUUCAGAACAAUGAAAUUUUAUUUACUCUUUGAUCCACUGUCAUAGAGAUUGAAACACUAGUGAAAAAAUGAAAUGCCAGAAUGAGUACCAUGGGGCUAUCUCACAAAUUCCAUGGAUAAACACAUAUUCCUUGAUGCAGGUGGUACUGCUCUCUGAGUGGGAUGAUGGGGAGUGUGUACCCAUACACACCCGUCUUAUGGCUUUCUGCUAAAUACAGAAGACAAAUUUUACCCUCAAAUACUCUUACUGAAUGUAAACACUUAUGAUCCAAAUUUUGCAGUCUUUGCCUUUUUCUAUUACUCAAUGCCCAUUAUAAACUCCAAGUCAGAUUUGCUUAUUCUUAGAAUUAUCCAUAGAUGCUGUGAAGAGGUACUGUGAGUUGGAAGCACACAUUGGUCCUUGCUUUUCUCUCUUCUCAAGAGGAAGCAAGCCUUAGCAGCCUUUCUUCCUCACUCAGCACAGUGCUGCUAUCAGCUCCAGAGUUUAAGGUCAGGGUAAUUAUAUCACAAGUCAAGUUGUAUCGGUGGAAUCAUACACAGAAUCAUAGAAUCAUAGGGGCUGGAAAGAGAUCGUUUCAUCCAACCCCCUGCUAAAGCAGAUUCCUAGAAUAGGAAAGAGUCCAUAGUAUCACCAAGGUUGGAGAUAGAAGUGUUCUGAACAGCCAGCAGAGCAUGGCAUCACACACAAACAGCUCAGUUUAAACAUCAUUAUCUCAUGAAAUUUAAGUAAAGAUUUCCUCUGCAAAGGAACUACUCAAUUUCAAAAAGCUAAACACUGCAUUUAUAAAAUUAACAGGACCAUAAAAAUUAUAAUUAUGUUGAAAAGUCUUUAAGAUUUGUCAUUGAAUUUUAGAUUUUCUUUAGUAUAAAUCUACAGUUAUUUUUGGAUAUAAAAACACAGGGAUGUAGUAAGAAAUUUGAAAAAAAUAGUACUUUCAAGAAAAAUAUGUAGGUAAUUUUCAAAGAAAACUUUAAAGGAUGAAACAUACAUAAUUGCAGUUCAUAACAACCAAUGGAUUUUUAAUAUUAAAAUUUAAUUUACGAAUAUUAUAAAAUCACAUCUGAAAUACUAAUCAUAUUCUUAUCUUGCUGGUUUCCAUUACAAACUUAUGACUGGAUGGAAAUUGGCCUGUUUCUAAAGUUUACGAACCUUUAGAAUAAAACAUCCAUAACUUAUUUGUCCAUUAGAGUGUACAGUAUCAAGAACAAUCAAACAAGUAAAUGAACAGAAAGGCAACAGAAGAGCUGCAUUUUCAAUAUGUAGUGCAAUAGGUAAUGGAAUUACCCUAAUAAAAUUUACUUGUAAAUCCCACCAAACUAAAUGAGUAAGCAAAUAAAGAGGUUGUACAUGCAACUCAAGGGUUUUAUGAAGCUUUUCCAUCUUCCAUUUGGUUUAGUUAUCAGCUCAGCAGACUUGGUCCUGUUGGAAGAAUCCAUUUGAGCACUCAGACCCACACUGGUUAACAUAUGGUUAAUGCAUUGAAGAGGAAUUUCAAUUAGAGUCUUCUGAUCAGGGGGAAGUUCUUUACCAAGAGAGUGGUGAGGUGCUGGAACAGGCUGGCCAGAGAGGUUGUGGAUACACUGUCCCAGGAGGUGUUCAAGACCAGGUCGGAUUGACUGCAGGACUUGGGACCUGUAUUCCAGCAGGAAGAAGCACACACCUUGUUAUUCAGCAUGCACUAGGAAGAGUGCACAUUCUGAAUGUGCCCCUCUGCAUCUGCUCAAAACCUGGGGACAGUUGAUGCUUUCUUAAGCAAUAAGUAGAACAACACUAGAAAUAAGUGAAAAGUCAUAUUUUAACUUAUUUUACAUUCUGGUAGUGCUUCCCCUUGUGGAAUUUUUUGCUACAUGCUGUCGAUCAGCAGACUUCCCUGCCCUCAAAGCAAUGUGAGAUUCACAUUUCUCAAAAAAUUACUACCUUUGAAAUAUUCUGUGGUGCAGAUAAACACAAAGGUUUUUUUGUUUGUUUGUUUGUUUGUUUGUUUGUUUUCCUUACCAUAUUUUGUUUCCAAAACAUUCAGGACUGUAGAUGUGUUUCUCAGAAAUCCAUCUUGCAUGCUUUUAUGGAGUAUGGCUAAAAUACUUCAUCUGCAAAACAAAACAGAACAAAACAAAAAAGGGCCUUUAUUACUUUAUUAUAUAUAUAUUAUAUAUUUCUUUAUUACAAGACAAAUACCCUGAAAUAAAUUGCUUGUUUCCAUAGAGGCCAAACAAAAUGAUCCACAGUUGAGCUAUUUGUUUUUUCUCAGUUUCACUUCACACUCUAAAAAAAGCAAGAACCAAAUAAAAACUGUUUCUAAGGUGUGGAAAAUGCUUUCUGGUGGUGGUGCUAGUCACAGGAACAUUUUCAUAAGUAGCUGUUUAUGUAAAUAUUUACCUAAAAAUGCAAAAGAGGGUGGAACCAAACUAUAUUUUCAUUCAUGGUGAUAUGUACUUUUUAAAAAUUGCAAAGAACAGAAUUCAGAAUGUUUGACCCCAGUGCCAUCCAUGGACAUCUCCGGGUAAUUUUUUAAUUCAGAAAUUAAUUCAAAUAUACUUAAGCAGUGGGAAACAUCUCCAUGAAGUGACACACCGACUUCUGUAGAACCGAUAGCCUCUUUCACUGCAGUGCCAGAAUGUCAUGCAACUUCCCAUUAGCACAGGAGGAUGGAAAGUAUUUACUGCUUCAACCAGAGCUGCAACCUUCACUCAGGAGCAUUGUUUUACACUUUGCAAAACUCUGUUUUUUGUUUUGUUUUGUUUUGUUUUGUUUUGUUUUUGUUUGUUUGUUUUUUGUUUUGAGGAAAGCAUCUGAGUAUUGGAUGGGGCCCUGGGCAAUCUGAUCUAGUACCUGAUCUAGCAGCUGGGAACCCUGCCUGCAGCUGGGGGCUUGAAACUUUGUGAUCCUUGAGGUCCCUUCCAAUCCAAGCCAUUUUAUGAUUCUGUGGUAUGCUACAGAAAACUACCAUUUUGCCAUGAUAAAACUUGUGGUUGUUUUUGUUAAUCUGUGAUUAGAAACAUCUGCCUGUGGAAGCCCCAUCGGUAAUGCUUCCUUUUAUUCUUUACACUAUAUUGCCCUGUUUGCAGCAGGCUGAUUUUUGGACAGACUCACCCAUAUGACUGCUCUUGAUUUCUUCAGGUUUCUGACAGGUCAUUUAUCAUUUUUAAAUUUUUGCAUUUUGAAUGAAAAUACUUGAAAGCAGAACUGAUCCCUAAGCUUUUAAGUUUAUCCUGAUUAUAUCAGUCCAAACAAUCACAGACCUAUAAAAUGCUCCAGGUUGAUAGAAACCUUGCAAUGUCACCUGGUCCAAAAUUACACAGAAAAGAGAUCCUACAGGAAUUCAUCUAGGAAUCUGUCCAGUCACAUCUUGAAAACCUCUUGUGAUGGGGACUCCAUCAUGUCCCUGGGAUAGUAUUCCAGCAAUUUCUUGUUCAAUUGUAAAAAAUUUCUUGCUUAUUAUCAAAAUGAAACCUCCCUUGUGCAACUUGUACCCAUUGCCCCCUGUCUUCUCACAUGGCUUCCUGUGAAGAGUGAGAGCCUGUCAUCUUUGUAGCCUCCAUUUAAGCACUAGCAUCCCAUGAUAAGGUUUAUCUGAGGUUUCCCUUCUCCAGGGUGAAAAGACCUAGCCACCAGCCUAGGCCCACCAGGACCUCCACGUCCCUUUCACCGUGGUUUCUCCCCAGCCACCAGACUGCAGCCCAUUCUGAACUCUUUGAACAUGUUGUCUGAUGUGUGGCACCUUUCACUUAUUUUUGUUAACUUUCACAUUAUUCUCCUUUGUCCACACUUUCACAUUUAACAUUAGCUAUUGAAAAUAAACAUUUAGUUCCCAGCAGUUGUUAAAAUACCAUUAUGGAUUGUAUUUAAAUUUAUGAUUUACAUAAAGAGUAAUUAUGUUCAUGUGAGAUCACAGUAAUGAUGAUGAUGACAAGAUCAAGAAGCAGAUCUGUGAGCACAAAUGUCUGCCACCUGAUUUUAAACAUCAGAUGACCUAAAUGGAAGCUUACAUAAAUUUAUAGCAUCAUUUUGUUAACUCAAUAUAAAUAAUCCUUUAAAUUUUAUUCUCCAUUUGAAGAUAAAGUAAAUUAUAGUUGACUCUCCUUGACACUGUUGAUACCAUAGCUGCACUGGCUUCAUCACUUCAUUGGCAACUAAUGUGAAAUGCAUUGAGUAAGAAGGAUAUAAAAAUGCAUGGGUGGAAGAACAGUCUGCAGCUUGCUGCCUGCCAUCAAACUUUGUGUGUGCUUUCCACAUUUUCAGCAUCUUCAUCAUCCUACACCCUCUGUCAUGGGUUUUGCUCAAGAGUCUGGCUGCCAUGAUAUGGACCAAAACUAAUGUUUCCACCUAGGCUGUGAUGGAUUGUUCCAGCUGGAGGGAGCUGCCCUAGAUAUUACAGAACCACAGAAUUGUAGGGAUUGGAAGGGACUUCUGGAUGUCAUCAAGUUCAACCCCCCUGCUAAAGUAGGUUUCCUACAGCAGGUCACACAGGUAGGCAUCCAGGUGGGCCUUGAAUAUCUCCAUAGAAGGACACUCCACAACAUAUUUGAGCAGCCUGUACCAACGCUCCAUCAUUAUGAUAGUGAAGUUCUUCCUUAUAUUAGCAUGGAAAUUUCCAUAUCAAAAUUUCUGCCCAUUGCCUCUUGUUCUAUAGUUGCUCACCACUGAAAACAGUUCACCCCCAUCAACUUGGCUCCUGCAUUUUACGUGUUUAUAAACAGUGAUGAGAUCCCCUCUCUAUACCUUCUCUUCUACAGGCUGAGUAGUACCAGGCCUCCCUGCUCUUCCUCAUAAAGGAGGUGCUCUAGAUCCUUUAUCAUCUUUGUGGCCCCCUGCUAGACUGUCAUCAGUAGUUCCCUGUCUUGAACUGGGAGCCCAGAACUGGACACAGUACCCCAGGUGUGGCCUCACCAGAGCAGAGUAGAUGGGGAGGAUCACCUUUCUCAUCCUGCUGGCCACACUCUUUAAUGCACCCAGGCUACAGGCCUCCAACCAGACUCUGUGUCAGUGAUCACAAUUCUCUGAGCAUUACAUCAUACUACAAUGUAUUAUUAUGAAAUAAUUUUAAUUUAUUAGCAUAAGAAAAGUUCAAGGAUUGUUUCCACUAACCUUAAUUGCUUUACUGAUAUUAAAUAAUAAGAUUCUGUUAUUUUCUUGUAUUUGGCAUUUCCUUCUGCACUUUUACUCUGAUUUGCCUUGGCCUUCUGCCAAAUGUGUAUCAGGUGUAGAGAAUCUGCCCUAAACCCCAAUUUUCCUACAAAAAAAGAGAGAGAUAACUGUAUUUAAGAGAAUUAUAUAAAAGUACAGCAAUAAAUUACUUCUAUGGGCAUAUGAAAAGCAAAACAAUAGCUUUAAAUUGACACCCCAGGUAAGAUGCUUGCAUCAACCAUGAAUUCAUACUGCUUUUAUGUAAUUUAAAAAAGAGAGUGUGUGGAGUACUGCAGCAUGUAGCAUUUUACAAUAAAACAGCUAGAAUCUGAUGCUGCAGAAGAGAGAGGAUGCGAAUACCUUCUCCUCUCCUGUGAAAUCAGCCUGGGGACCUCCAUUCUCUGCAAGAUGUAAGCUGGAGAUACAUUGGAUGUAUCACGUACGUAGUCAUGUCACUACAUUGAUGAAUGUAGUCACUUAAAAAUAGUGUGGCCAGCAGGAGCAGGGAGGUAAUCGUCCCCCUGUACUCAGCACUGGUGAGGCCGCACCUCGAGUACUGUGUUCAGGUUUGGGUCCCUCACUACAGGAAAGAUAUUGAGGUCCUGGAAUGCGUCCAGAGAAGUGCAAUGAAACUGAUGAAGGUUCUGGAGCACAAGUCUUACGAGGAGCGGUUGAGGGAGCUGGGAUUUUUCAGUCCGAAAAAGAGGAAGUUCAGGGCAGCCCUCACUGCACUCUACAACUUCCUGAAGGGACGUUUUGAUGAGGAGAGGUUUGGCCUCUUCUGCCAGGCAACAAAUGGGAUGCGAGGAAAUGGCCACAAGUUGUGUCAUAGGAGGUUUAGGUUAGACAUGAGGAAAAACUUUUUCUCUCAGAGAGUGGUCAGGCACUGGAAUGGCUGCCCAGGGAUGUGGUGGAGUCACUGCCCCUGGCAGUAUUCAAGAGGUGUCUGGAUGAGGAGCUACGAGAUAUGGUUUAGUGGCUUGUGGUAGUAAUGGCAAUGGGAUGAUGGUUGGACUAGAUGUUCUUGUGGGUCCUUUCCAACCUUCUGAUUCUAUGAUUCUAUGAUAAGAUUUUAACUAGCAUACAGAAUACAAUCAGAACCAGGACAGCUGACCUAAACUGGCUUAAGAGGUGUUCCAUUCCACAUAGCAUCAUGAGAAAAAACUAUAAACUGUGAAGAGCUGUUCAGGGGUUAGUCACUGCUCAGGGGCUGUAUGGGCACUGGUCAGUGGGUGGUGAGCAAUUGCUUUGUACAUCACUUGUUUUGUAAAUAUGUAUUAUUAUCAUCUCUGUUACUUUUCUCUUCAUUUUCUGCCUCAGUAAAUAAUUUUUUGUCUCAAAUUA
Long non-coding RNA from Gallus gallus (chicken), 20614 nucleotides. The record is from Ensembl. Lineage: Eukaryota; Metazoa; Chordata; Aves; Galliformes; Phasianidae.